AUAACCAUCAACCAUUCCGCGCGCGCGCGGACGCGAACGUGCCGUGAUUGCUCGGUAAAUCCAGUGCAUAUCUCGUUUUGGCAUUUAGACAAACACCUCGUCGGCAAGCUCGAAGCCAACACCUACUAGCUCGCCGGAGAGGAUAGCAGUAGAGAGGAUAGCAGUAGCUUCUUCUCUGUGGGUCUUCGUCAUGCUCAGCACUUUCGUCGUCGCCUUUGUUUGCAUCCAGUUUGGCUUCACUUCUGGCUUCUCGUCCCUGACCCAAGAGAACAUCAUUCGAGACCUCGGCGUCGCGCUUUCUAAGGGAUCCUGCCAUACACAAUUCUUAUUCUUUACCCCAGUAUCACUAAGGUGGCUGAUGAGAUUAGUGAAUUUUUUCCUCAUGCAAAACGAGAACUGAGUUUGUCUUUAAAUAUGCUAUCCCUUGUGCUUUUAUAAUCAGGGCAAAAAUUGUCAUGAUGGAAGAUUUUGAAACUUCCUUACAAGUCUUGAGGGUUUGAUUCUGAUAUUACUCUUGAAGUGAAUGAAAUUAAGGUAGAAAGCUAGGAUGCAUCAGCAAUGAAUUUCACUGCAUGUAACAGAUUUCUGAUUUUUUGCUCUUCAAUUUUCUUUGAAAACCUCACAAAAACAUUACAUAAGAAAAUCUUAGUUUUUUGCUAGUAUAGACAGCUAUGGUAAUUGCAAGACCUUGUUUAAUAAUAAUAUUAAAAAAAGGUCCUUCCUGCAGAGAUCACUGCCAUCAUUUUCAUCUAGCAGGACUAUGAUCCGCUUCUCAGAUCUUAAGUUCCUUUAAUGAUAGGAGUCAGUUUUGUACAACUUUUGAGUGGAAUGAAUGCCCUUUUAUUUUUUGCGAGUGAUAUUUUUAAAGCAGCUGGAGCUGGUAAGUUAAUUACUGUCUAAAGCUUUGGAAUUUCCUGACUUCAUUUAUCUGAUAGUAGUGUACUUUAGCUGUGCAAAGCUUGCAUUAAAGGUUGAGGCAUGUGAUUUAAUUCAAUAACUAUUUGAGCAUAUGUUAUUAUAUUAAUGUUUGUUCAUGAAUAUUGAAAAAGAAAAGGGGACAGGUCUUGGAAAGUAAAGGAUGAAGAGGAGAAAGAAGGGUAGAAGGUAAUAGAAGUCAGUUGCCUCUCCUGAUCACAGGAUGUCCUUAGUGCAGUUUUAGCAAGGCUUUCUGAUUAAACCAAUCAAUUUGCAACAGCUGCUAUCCUGGUCCAUACACUUCCUUAGGGCCCAUUCACACAUUUACCAUGCACGUGGCUCAUUUUUAACCACUCACAAAAUAGAAUAGGUCCACUAAAAAUAAAUUUGAUGUCAGAACAAUUAUAUAAGCUCUCAUUGCUGGUCCCAAUCUUUUAAUCAUAUUCUUUUAUGUAAGUUCAAUUAUGGUCAGAGUACAGUAGUUGAUUCACAGUUCUUUUGUUCCUGCAAGCCUAACCUCAAUGAUGUCCCACUAAUGAUGCAAUUUGAAAGCCCUUCUUUUAUUUGCUAGGUAAAACAUAAAAUCAAAAUUGCACUACAAAUAUGGAAAGAAUCCUGCAGGAAAAGAGGUUGUUGCUUUAUGCAGUUCUGUUUUCCUGAGACAGCCAGGACAUUUUACCUCCUAAUGCACUGAACCUAGUCAUUGGUUGGAAUUAGGUAAACUUAACCAAUUGCCAUUUGCCACAAAUUAACCAAAGUGAUUAGUUGAGAAGAGAUGAAAUUACUAGCUUUCGUCUCCAAUGCCUUGUACUACUUAGUCUACUUUGGUAUUUUUAUUUCUACUCUUUUUGUGCGCUUGUGAAGGACUAGUUUUAAACUUACUCCAUCAUCAGGUUCCCUGGUUUUAUUAAUUUCAUCCUAUCUAAGACAGGUCAGUCAUCAAGCAAUAUUGCCACAUGUGGACUUGGAGUUAUCCAGUCAAUGAUUUGCUAUAGUUAUUAGUUUCAAUGAGCAAACAACAUUUCUUGCUUUCUAUAUUUUUCCAUAUGUAAUGCAAGGCAUGGGAACUUUCUUUCUUGUGAUUUUCUGAUCAAUUAUCAAAAAGGAAAAAGGUUGAGAGUAGAUCUAGACCAGCUUAAGUCUCUGAAAUCUUAUUAUUAGUCUCUGUUUUUUAAUAUGAUCAAUCAUUACUUCUAUUGUUUGUUAAUUGCAUUGUCAUUUCUCAUUUGGUCUUCACAAGUUAAAUGGCUGUCAACAGAAUUGGGACCCAUAUUACUAAUAAGCAGAUUAACAGUGUUUUGCAUCUAUCAUUUGUUUACAUUUUUAUAUAAUAUAUUAUCACUAUUAUCCAACUUGAGUAGCAACCCUCAUUCUUUGAUUGUUUUGCAUCUAUCAUUUGUAUCUUAAAUUUAUUUAGAUUAAAGCCGUUCUAGAGUAGAUCAUUCAAAAUUUGAAGUAGCAGCCUCAUUUUGAAGAUGGUGUGCCUAAUUAUGGCCAUCCAGUGAAAUUUGAUAGUCCCCUUCAUGCAUGUAAUAAUUUCGGUACAUGUUCAACCCAAUGUCAAUCUUAUUUAAACAAAGUUAUUUGUGUUUUAUUUCACAGUCAUCACUACAAUCAUCUAAGUUCCCUGUUUCCUAUAAUAUGUUCCUUUACCUCGUACAUACUGUUCAAUAUAGAUGAUAGAUAAAAAAUUUAACUAUUUCUGAAGGGUGAAGAUCAUUCAAAGAUGUAUUGCAUGCUUCAAACUCAUCAUCUUGUGCAUCAUCAGGCAAAUAUAGCUUCUUGUAUAGGACAUGCUACAAACCAUACAUGCUCUGUUACAAGUAGGCAGAUUUAUUGUUUGCCAUUGAGUUGUAAAGACCUUGCAAAUUGCACAUCUUUAUCUCAUGAUUUUAUUUGAUUUUUCUUGUGAGUAAACAAAUGAAUCAAGACGUGCAGGACACGGUCUUGCACCUGCGAUUGCUAAUUCAGUCACCAGCUUUUAUCAGAUAGAUUAGAGCCAGGUAUUCUUUGAGACAUUGAUUGUAUGCAAAAGGCCUCUCCAGAUGAACAAGGUGGCCUGCUUUCUCUAUCCCUUGUACUGUUGCCUUCUCUCCCAGUUGCCUGCAUUUGUGCAUUGGUAAGUCUUUAACCUUUUUAUGUUAAAUAUGCUUAUUUUGUGGAUAUACUCUUGUUAAAUUAUAUUUACAUGCUAUGCAUAUAAAGAGUGUUUAUCAAAUGUUGAUCUCUAGAUAUAAUAGAAUACAUUAACUCAUUAACAGUAAAUUGAGAGGUGUUGACAAAUAGAUGAUAAGUGUCCUGUAUAUGUGUGAAGUUUAAUAUCUCAAAUAUGUGUUAUUAUCUUUUCUCCCGAAAUGGGAUUCGGUGUCGACAGGCUCUCUUGGCCAUUGACUACAAAUAGUAUUAUUAUACACAUAAAUAUUGACAA
Molecule: long non-coding RNA, 3343 nt
Organism: Dioscorea cayenensis subsp. rotundata (Guinea yam)
Lineage: Eukaryota; Viridiplantae; Streptophyta; Magnoliopsida; Dioscoreales; Dioscoreaceae
Exons: 4
Source: RefSeq, a predicted model, not a curated record